CAUGCAUGUCUAAGUAUAAACGAUUUAAUCGUGAAACCGCGAAUGGCUCAUUAUAACAGCUAUAAUUUACUUGAUCUUGACACAAUCCUACUUGGAUAACUGUGGUAAUUCUAGAGCUAAUACAUGCAUUAAAGCUCUGACCUCACGGGAAGAGUGCAUUUAUUAGAACAAAACCAAGCGGCUUCGGCUGUUUCUGGUUGACUCAUAGUAACUGAGCUGAUCGCAUGGUCUUGCACCGGCGACGUGUCUUUCAAGUAUCUGCCGUAUCAACUUUCGAUGGUAGUGUAUCUGACUACCAUGGUGAUCACGCGUAACGGAGAAUAAGGGUUCGGCUCCGGAGAGUUCGCCUGAGAAAUCGCGAACACAUCUAAGGAAGGCAGCAGGCGCGAAAAUUACCCACUCUCAGCACGAGGAGGUAGUGACGAAAAAUAACGAGACCGUUCUCUUAUGAGGCCGGUCAUCGGAAUGGGUACAAUUUAAACCCUUUAACGAGUAU
This 496-nucleotide ribosomal RNA is filed under the name Acrobeloides sp. Sourhope farm. Its description in RNAcentral is "SSU rRNA". It matches the Rfam family "Eukaryotic small subunit ribosomal RNA", at positions 50 to 544 of the family's 1831-position model. Lineage: Eukaryota; Metazoa; Nematoda; Chromadorea; Rhabditida; Cephalobidae. The record is from RNAcentral.